GAGCAAGCCGCGGGCCUAGAGGGGCAGGACGGUGUCUGUGGGCGGGGCGUCCUGUCUACCUCGCUGCUGUUCUGUACUCGUUGGUGGCGGUACAAGAGGUGUGACUGCUGUGAUUGGCCUUUGGGAAUAUUUUGAUUACUGAUCGAUGGAGGACCCAGCUCAUUGUGGACUGGUGCCACCCUUGGUCCUGGGGUAUAUGAGAAAGCUGAGUGAGUGAACAAGCCAGAAAGCAGCGUUCCUUCGUGGUUUCGAGUCCUGCCGCACGGAAUCGAUAUUAGACUGUGAUGUGGAAGUGUAAGCAAAAUAAACCCUUUCCUUCCCAAGUUGCUUUUGGCCAUGUUUAUUACAGCAAUAGAAACCCUGAGUAAGAGAGGGUAUUGGACAUUGGAUUUUGUAUUGCGGCUUGCCCUUCUGGGAUGGCUAAACUAUUUUUCAACACGGACUGGAAAAGUUUCAGUUAGUUUGUGAGGGGAAUUAUUUUCUGAGUAAUGUAAAUCUGCACUAGAGCUUCUUUUAAGAGCAGUUUCCCAGCGUUUCAAGACUGGGUUACUCUGCUUAUCCUCAAUUGUUGAUAACCUGUUUCAAAAAACAGAGAAACCACCACCAACAAAACAAAAACAAAGAGGCUGCUGUGACUCAGCACACCUAUAAAUCCCGGCACUUAGGCAUACGAGGAUCAGAGGUUAAAGGCCAUCCUUAGGUACAUAGCAAGUUCAAGGCGAUCUUAGACAACGUGAAAGCCUAUCUCAACCAAAAACUCAAAAAGCAUGGUGUAGCUUGUAAGUCUUUAUCUCAGCACUUGAAGGAUGGAGGCAGAUCAGGAGUUCAAGGUCUUCUUCACCUACACAAGUUCCAGACUUUUUCCUACAUGACAAUCUGUCGCAAUCAAACAAACAAGAUGAAACAUCUCUGUAUCUGUCUCUAUCAUUAUGUGACUUUCAUUACG
This is a long non-coding RNA of Myodes glareolus (Bank vole), 946 nucleotides long. RefSeq lists it as uncharacterized. The record is from RefSeq and is a predicted model, not a curated record. Lineage: Eukaryota; Metazoa; Chordata; Mammalia; Rodentia; Cricetidae.